CAGAGGUUGGGCCUGUAGACGCUGACAGGAGGCAGGAGCUGGGCCGGGAGAGGUCAACUUGAGGAGAUUUUGGGCCUUCAUAGGCCACCAGGAGGCAGCAGUUGGGACUAGAGAGGCUGACUUGAGUAAGUUUUGGGCCCGGAGAUGACGUUCUGGGACAGGAGCUGUGCCUGGAGAGGUCACUGUGAGGCAUGAGCUGGAUGUAGAGAGGCCAGUGUGAGGCAAGACCUGGGCCUGUCUAGGCUGCUGGGAGACACGCAGGAAUCUGGCCAGGGAAGGUUGCCAUGAGACGAAAGUUGGGCCUGGAAAGGCCCUUGUGAAGCAUGAGCUUGGCCUAAAGAGGCCACUGGGUGGCAGGAGCUGGGUGUGUAGAAGCUGCUAAAGGUUGGGAGCUUGGCUUGGGGGGUCCACAGUGAGGCAGAUGCUGGGCCUCAAGAAUCUGCUAUGAGGCAGAUGUUGGGACUGUAGAGGCCGACGGGAGGCAGAGGCUGGGCCUGGAGGGGCCACCAAGAUGCAGGAGCUGGGCCUGGAGAGGCUGCAAAGAAGCAUGAGCUGGGCCUGGUGAGGUCGACUUCAGAAAGUUCAGGGCCUAGAGAGAAGGCUGGGAGGCAGGAGCUGGGUCUAAAGAGGCCAUUGUAACGAUGGAGCUGUGCCUGUGGAGGCUGUUGUGAGGCAGUAGGCUCAUCUGCGGAGACUGCCGUGAGGUAGGGUAUGGGCCUAAAUAGGCCAUUGUGAGUCAUGAGCUUGGUCUGUAGAGGCUGACUGGAGAAAGUUCUGGGCCUGGAGAGGCUGCCGGGAGGUAGGAGCUGGGCCAAAAGAUUUAAGCACAUUUACAUUUAUUAGGCACUUCGUUUCCAUUAUUACACUGUAAUAUCUAAUAAAAUAAUUAUAGAACUCACCA
RNAcentral lists this long non-coding RNA (901 nucleotides) under Homo sapiens (human). RNAcentral describes it as "novel transcript". Lineage: Eukaryota; Metazoa; Chordata; Mammalia; Primates; Hominidae. The record is from RNAcentral.